This 88-nucleotide transfer RNA is filed under the name Nitrososphaerota archaeon. Its description in RNAcentral is "tRNA-Leu". It matches the Rfam family "tRNA". Rfam says of the family: Transfer RNA (tRNA) molecules are approximately 80 nucleotides in length. RNAcentral also lists the same sequence under 1 other name. The record is from RNAcentral. Lineage: Archaea; Thermoproteati; Nitrososphaerota.
GCGGGGGUAACGAAGCCUGGUCAACCGUGCGGGACUCAAGAUCCCGUCCCUUAGGGGUUCGUGGGUUCGAAUCCCACCCCCCGCACCA